GAGGUGGGGAAAACCGUUGGAAACGACGGCUAAUACCGAAUGCGGCGCCGGGAGGCAUCUUCCGAGCGCUAAAGGGGGCCGCAAGGCUCCCCCUCUUCGAGGGGCUCGCGCACCAUCAGCUUGUUGGCGGGGUAACGGCCCACCAAGGCUCACGGUUAGCUGGUCUGAGAGGAUGGCCAGCCGCACUGGGACUGAGAUACUGCCCAGACUCCUACGGGAGGCUGCAGUCGAGGAUCAUUCGCAAUGGGGGAAACCCUGACGAUGCGACGCUGCGUGGAGGAUGAAGGCCCUCGGGUCGUAAACUCCUGUCAUGAGGGAAAAGGCGAGGGGACCCAACACGUCCCUUAGUUGAUGGUACCUCAAGAGGAACGGGCGGCUAACUCUGUGCCAGCCGCCGC
Molecule: ribosomal RNA, 398 nt
Filed under: uncultured bacterium
Lineage: Bacteria
Description: bacterial SSU rRNA
Rfam family: Bacterial small subunit ribosomal RNA
Source: RNAcentral